AGACCAGAAAGACUUAACAAAACAAUAUAAGAACCUUGAUUGGGUCACAAAUCUAUGAAAUAUAUUUUCGGGAUGGAUAGGGAAUGCUGAAUAUGGGAAGGAUAUUGGAUGAUAUUAAGAAAUUAAAUUUGCUUAAGGAUCUAGGGGUAGAGUUUUAUGUCUACAAUUUAGAAAUGGUUCUGCAAAAGUAAGUAAAGCUCACUCAUACAGGGAUGGGUUAAACCCACUGAAGGCAAGAACCACAUGUGCCCUAGUGCCUGGCACACAGUAGCAGUAAGGGUUUGCUGAGUGGAAGGCUAUUAGAAACCAGCCAGCCUGUUACCCCUGCCCUUUCCUCGGUGCUUGUUACCCAUCCAAAGUCCCUGUGCCGAUACUUUGAAAGGCCAGAACUCAAAAGGUCAGUUUGAGGUAAGUAAAGGUUUACUGAUUAAGAAGCCAAGAAUAAAGAGCCCUAGUUCUCAAAUCCAUCUUUAGACAGUACAGGGUUUAGGCUUUUAUAUCAAGAGAAGGGCAAAUGGGAGGAGCUGUUUUUAUGAAACCUCAAGCCCCUAGCCGAAUUCCUUUAAUGAUCUGCAUGCCUAAAGCAGGAGCUUAUAGCCUGAAGGCUGAGGGAACUUGUUCCAUCCUUGAACCAGAUGGAAUCCGAGAGUCUGAGAGACCCAGCACUUCAGUCUGUUACACAUUGAGCUCUCUAAGGGCAGGGUCUGUCCCAAAGCACCUUGCACAGCGCCAGGCACUCAUUAAUCUCUGUUGAGUGAACAGGGAAAAUGUGAACAGCGCAACUAGUGUAACAGCAUGACCAUUUGAGAGUGGGAUGUUUGCUUUCCUUGCAGACGAGCUGACUGGCAGGAAUCCAAGGAUGAGGAGGAAUCUGGCUUCUUGGGGGAUGUUUUCAGGAAAAUGAGGCUGAGUUAGUAACAGAUCUGAAAAAGGAGUGUCAGGGUACUGGAUGGCGUAGCCAAGAUUUCCAAGACUGAUGGCUUUUUGCAGAAAAUAAGAUGAAAUAAACGAGGCAAAGAAGGAAAAACCAUUUUUCCUUGUAAUAAACUUGAAAUAGUU
Long non-coding RNA from Myotis davidii, 1059 nucleotides. RefSeq lists it as uncharacterized. The transcript is spliced from 2 exons. Lineage: Eukaryota; Metazoa; Chordata; Mammalia; Chiroptera; Vespertilionidae. The record is from RefSeq and is a predicted model, not a curated record.